Molecule: non-coding RNA, 69 nt
Organism: Triticum aestivum (bread wheat)
Lineage: Eukaryota; Viridiplantae; Streptophyta; Magnoliopsida; Poales; Poaceae
Source: Rfam
UCCAUUGCUCAGUUUGUAGAGCACAAGGCUCUUAACCUUAUUGUCGUGGGUUCAAGCCCCACGAAGGAG